RNAcentral lists this ribosomal RNA (253 nucleotides) under uncultured bacterium. Its description in RNAcentral is "partial 16S ribosomal RNA". It matches the Rfam family "Bacterial small subunit ribosomal RNA", at positions 524 to 776 of the family's 1533-position model. The record is from RNAcentral.
UACGUAGGGGGCUAGCGUUGCUCGGAAUCACUGGGCGUAAAGCGCAUGUAGGCGGAUUGUUAAGUCAGGGGUGAAAUCCUGGAGCUCAACUCCAGAACUGCCUUUGAUACUGGCGAUCUCGAGUCCGGGAGAGGUGAGUGGAACUGCGAGUGUAGAGGUGAAAUUCGUAGAUAUUCGCAAGAACACCAGUGGCGAAGGCGGCUGACUGGUCCGGUUCUGACGCUGAGGCGCGAAAGCGUGGGGAGCAAACAGG